CUAACAUUGUUUGGGAGGCAGACACACUCUUGCAGUUUAAAUCUAGAUUAAAGACCCAUCUCUUUAACCUGGCAUACACAUAACAUACUAAUAUGCUUUUAAUAUCCAAAUCCGUUAAAGGAUUUUUAGGCUGCAUUAAUUAGGUCACCGUGGCCACCAGAUCCAGUCUGUGUCCAGAUCAGAGGGUCACUGCAGUCACCCGGAUCCAGUACGUAUCCAGACCAGAUGGUGGAUCAGCACCUAGAAAGGACCUCUACUGCCCUGAAAGACAGCGGAGACCAGGACAACUAGAGCCCCAGAUACAGAUCCCCUGUAAAGACCUUGUCUCAGAGGACCACCAGGACAAGACCACAGGAAACAGAUGAUUCUUCUGCACAAUCUGACUUUGCUGCAGCCUGGAAUUGAACUACUGGUUUCGUCAGGUCAGAGGAGAACUGACCCCCCAGCUGAGCCUGGUUUCUCCCAAGGUUUUUUUCUCCAUUCUGUCACCGAUGGAGUUUCGGUUCCUUGCCGCUGUCGCCUCUGGCUUGCUUAGUUGGGGUCACUUCAUCUACAGCGAUAUCGUUGACUUGAUUGCAAAUUAAAACAGACACUAUUUCAACUGAACAGAGAUGACAUCAAUGAAUUCAAUGAUGAACUGCCUUUAACUAUCAUUUUGCAUUAUUGAGACACUGUUUUCCAAAUGAAUGUUGUUCAGUGCUUUGGCGCAAUGUAUUUUGUUUAAAGCACUAUAUAAAUAAAGGUGAUUGAUUGAUACA
Carassius gibelio (silver crucian carp) is the source of this 758-nucleotide long non-coding RNA. RefSeq lists it as uncharacterized. Lineage: Eukaryota; Metazoa; Chordata; Actinopteri; Cypriniformes; Cyprinidae. The transcript has 2 exons. The record is from RefSeq and is a predicted model, not a curated record.